UACGGAGGGUGCGAGCGUUGUCCGGAAUCACUGGGCGUAAAGGGCGCGUAGGCGGCCUGAUAAGUAGGGGGUGAAAUCCUGCGGCUUAACCGCAGGGCUGCCUUCUAAACUGUCAGGCUCGAGCACAGUAGAGGCAGGUGGAAUUCCUGGUGUAGCGGUGGAAUGCGUAGAGAUCCGGAAGAACACCGGUGGCGAAGGCGGCCUGCUGGGCAGUUUAGCUGACACUGAGGCGCGACAGCGUGGGGAGCAAACAGG
RNAcentral lists this ribosomal RNA (255 nucleotides) under uncultured bacterium. RNAcentral describes it as "partial 16S ribosomal RNA". It matches the Rfam family "Bacterial small subunit ribosomal RNA", at positions 524 to 776 of the family's 1533-position model. The record is from RNAcentral.